UACUUUGGAUUUCUUCGGAAUGACGAGGUUUGUGACUGAGUGGCGGACGGGUGAGUAACGCGUGGGUAACCUACCUCAUACAGGGGGAUAACAGUUGGAAACGGCUGCUAAUACCGCAUAAGCGCACGGAGACGCAUGUCUCCGUGUGAAAAGCCUUAACGGUGUGAGAUGGACCCGCGUCUGAUUAGCUAGUUGGCAGGGUAACGGCCUACCAAGGCGACGAUCAGUAGCCGACCUGAGAGGGUGACCGGCCACAUUGGGACUGAGACACGGUCCAAACUCC
RNAcentral lists this ribosomal RNA (283 nucleotides) under uncultured Eubacteriales bacterium. RNAcentral's name for it is "uncultured Clostridiales bacterium partial 16S ribosomal RNA". The stretch from base 45 to 283 matches the Rfam family "Bacterial small subunit ribosomal RNA", at positions 100 to 339 of the family's 1533-position model. The record is from RNAcentral. Lineage: Bacteria; Bacillati; Bacillota; Clostridia; Eubacteriales.